Molecule: RNA transcript, 720 nt
Organism: Manacus vitellinus (golden-collared manakin)
Lineage: Eukaryota; Metazoa; Chordata; Aves; Passeriformes; Pipridae
Gene: SMIM11
Gene name: small integral membrane protein 11A
Exons: 4
Source: RefSeq, a predicted model, not a curated record
UGCUGGGUGGAAGCAGGCUGUCUAAUUCUCUUUCAACUUUAAUCCCCAUUUCUCCAAGAUCUGAUUUGGCUUUAAUUCCCAUUUCUCCAAGAUGAUCCCUCCCCACUGUGUGACUUCAGGAGCGUGACGCGUGUGCCGGAGUCGGUGUCACCCCGCGGCCGAGAUGGUGGCAUUCAACUGGAAGGCUCUGGAGAAUUUCCCAUUGCUGAUGUACAUUUUGGCAGCUAAAACAUUGAUCCUUUGCUUGGCAUUUGCUGGGGUGAAAAUGUACCAGAGCAAAAAAAUUGAGGAAAAACUGAAGAGGGAACGGGAAGAGAAGCUGAAAAGAGAAGCAGAGAAGAAGGAGGAUUGAAGAGUCCCUCAGAUGAAAAUUGAGCUGCCCUUGCAAGGGAGCAAAAGCUGUUGCUUGGCACGAGGUGACCAGAGUGAUCCCAAUCCCACUGGAAUUGCAGGGAUGGAUAAGGAUUGGAGCAACCUGGCCUAUGGAAGGGGCAGGGGGUGCCACUGGAUGAGCUUUAAGAAUUCCUGACACUUGGCAGCUCGUGCUGGAUUCCUUUCCCAGGAGGGUGAAGCCUCCCUGGAGAUGAAGGAUGUGUCAGAGGAAUAAAACCCUGGAGAGAAACAUCCACUUCAGCUGGAUCUGCGUUUUUUCCGUGGACAGAGAAGGAUUUCAGCCUCUAUUUGUGCAAUAAAAAACCCCUUUGUUAAAAAAAAAAUAAA